This 505-nucleotide ribosomal RNA is filed under the name uncultured bacterium. RNAcentral describes it as "partial 16S ribosomal RNA". It matches the Rfam family "Bacterial small subunit ribosomal RNA", at positions 28 to 507 of the family's 1533-position model. The record is from RNAcentral.
GACGAACGCUGGCGGCGUGCCUAAUACAUGCAAGUAGAACGCACAGUUUAUACCGUAGCUUGCUACACCAUACACUGUGAGUUGCGAACGGGUGAGUAACGCGUAGGUAACCUGCCUGGUAGCGGGGGAUAACUAUUGGAAACGAUAGCUAAUACCGCAUAAUAUUGAUUAUUGCAUGAUAAUUGAUUGAAAGAUGCUAUUGCAUCACUACCAGAUGGGCCUGCGUUGUAUUAGCUAGUAGGUGAGGUAACGGCUCACCUAGGCGACGAUACAUAGCCGACCUGAGAGGGGGAUCGGCCACACUGGGACUGAGACACGGCCCAGACUCCUACGGGAGGCAGCAGUAGGGAAUCUUCGGCAAUGGACGAAAGUCUGACCGAGCAACGCCGCGUGAGUGAAGAAGGUUUUCGGAUCGUAAAGCUCUGUUGUAAGAGAAGAACGGGUGUGAGAGUGGAAAGUUCACACUGUGACGGUAUCUUACCAGAAAGGGACGGCUAACUAUGUG